UCCGGCUUAUCGCCGACAGUUCCCUUAGGGUUCUCAGCAUAACCUGUUAGCAACUAAGGGCAAGGGUUGCGCUCGUUGCGGGACUUAACCCAACAUCUCACGACACGAGCUGACGACAGCCAUGCAGCACCUCUAGAGCAGUCCGGUAAAGGACAUUGACAUCUCUGCCAACUUCCACUCCAGUUCAAGCCCAGGUAAGGUUCUUCGCGUUGCGUCGAAUUGAACCACAUGCUCCACCGCUUGUGCGGGCCCCCGUCAAUUCCUUUGAGUUUCAGUCUUGCGACCGUACUCCCCAGGCGGGGCGCUUAAUGCGUUAGCUACGGCACGGAAAGCGGAAAUGCUCCCCACACCUAGCACUCAACGUUUACGGCUGGGACUAC
This 380-nucleotide unclassified non-coding RNA is filed under the name uncultured Acidobacteriota bacterium. RNAcentral's name for it is "uncultured Acidobacteria bacterium contains 16S-23S intergenic spacer region". The record is from RNAcentral. Lineage: Bacteria; Pseudomonadati; Acidobacteriota.